This 377-nucleotide unclassified non-coding RNA is filed under the name uncultured Gammaproteobacteria bacterium. RNAcentral's name for it is "contains 16S-23S intergenic spacer region". Lineage: Bacteria; Pseudomonadati; Pseudomonadota; Gammaproteobacteria. The record is from RNAcentral.
UCCGGUUUGUCACCGGCAGUCUCCCUAGAGUUCCCAUCCGAAAUGCUGGCAACUAGGGACAAGGGUUGCGCUCGUUGCGGGACUUAACCCAACAUCUCACGACAUGAGCUGACGACAGCCAUGCAGCACCUGUGUUCGAGUUCCCGAAGGCACCAAUCCAUCUCUGGAAAGUUCUCGACAUGUCAAGGCCAGGUAAGGUUCUUCGCGUUGCAUCGAAUUAAACCACAUGCUCCACCGCUUGUGCGGGUCCUCGUCAAUUCCUUUGAGUUUUACCGUUGCCGGCGUACUCCCCAGGCGGAGAACUUAACGCGUUAGCUGCGACACCGAGAGGCAAACCCUCCCAACAUCUAGUUCUCAUCGUUUACAGCGUGGACUAC